Rhododendron vialii is the source of this 1476-nucleotide long non-coding RNA. RefSeq lists it as uncharacterized. Lineage: Eukaryota; Viridiplantae; Streptophyta; Magnoliopsida; Ericales; Ericaceae. The transcript has 5 exons. The record is from RefSeq and is a predicted model, not a curated record.
CUGUUGGCAACUUGGCUGUUGCAAGGAAAAGUGGUUGAGGUUCUUAGUCCUCUCACUGGGGAUCUUUGAGUUUCCAUUACCAACUCUUGCCAUACUGAUUUACAGCAUGAGGAUGACACAAUUGUUGGAUUGCUUAUAUUCAAAAAACAGAUUCUGGAAUCAUCAUUCAGGUCAUGCACCUUACCAACAUGCACAAAAAAAGGACAUGCAAGCAUGAGGUCUGUUGAAGUUCUCAAAUCACCACAUGAUUCUAUCUCCAAAGACUCUCCAACGACAUGGAAUGUAUGUGCUGCUGGAAAUAUUUUAUGUUCGAAGGUGGAUGGAAAUGAAAACUAUGCUUUAUUUGGAGGGAGCUUACAUGGAACUCUUCUACCAUGCAUGCUAGGUAAGGGACUGCUUAAUUGAUUAGAGGUGAGUAGCUAUUUUUUUUGGGUGGCAAACCCCUUCCUUAGCCCAGUUUCUACAUUUUGUAAUUCGAGAAGCAGCUCCGAAAACAGGGCUAUCUUGCUUAUGUUCUCUUCUUUUUUUUUCAAGCUAUGUUUUCUUGUUACAAAGGCCACGUUGCUUGUGCUGAAAGUCCUUUUGAAUGUUGUAUACCUUGUUCAAUUAUUACUAAGUAGCUAACUUGUUAUCCACUUCGUUCUCCAUAUCACUACUUCUGAAUGUAAGUAAAUAGCCGCAAGAUUUGUACAUUCAUGCUGGUUUCUCCUUUAUUCAGAAGAUAUGACCAUGAUUUUGAGGUGAAAUUUUACAGAACUUCUUAGACUAUUUGCUACUCCAUAAGUUAUAACUAGCAAUUGCUGACUAUGAACUAUUUCUUGUAGGGUUGUUCAGUUACAACCCCUCAAAGUUGCUAGGAUUGGUCAAGUGUCGUGGCUGCAAUUGCAAUAAUUGGUGUGAGGUCAGUAACUAUUGCUUAGUCUUUUGGUAUGCAUAUGGGAGUAACAAUCCUAUGCUACUGUGUGAUUACUUAAGGCCAUAAGGGGAAACAUGUAUAUCUCUUCUAGGCAUAACCUCAAAUCGAUGGGAACUCGAUAGCGUUGAUGCUUCUCUCUUCUGGCAUAACCUCACUCAACUGUGUUGAAGCUUCUCUCUUCCAUGAAAUGAGCACUUUAAAAGAACAAGUGGAUAUCGUGAUGAGGCAUGCUUGAUUAAAGGUUCGAGACAGUUGCAAUAGCCCCCUAGAUCAAACUUCUCCACAAGCACAUCAAGGAUCAUCGCGAGCAAGUCAUGACAUCGAAUAUUCUGAUCGCGGUAUACGAAUUGAAAUCAUAGCGCCCUUGUAAGUCUACAGUUGUAUCUUUUGCAAGAAAUGACAUCAAAGAUCAUCGACUUGAUGCUAUCUGAUUGGUUAAUUACCCAUUAUCUGCUGUAAGUGUACUUUAAGUGCAUUGGAUAACCUAUUAUCUGUUGAAACUGACUGUAUAUGCUAAAAAUAUGAACCCAAUUGAUGGAAAUGUUGUUUAGAGGCAUAAA